RNAcentral lists this ribosomal RNA (253 nucleotides) under uncultured bacterium. Its description in RNAcentral is "partial 16S ribosomal RNA". It matches the Rfam family "Bacterial small subunit ribosomal RNA", at positions 524 to 776 of the family's 1533-position model. The record is from RNAcentral.
UACGUAGGGCGCAAGCGUUGUCCGGAAUUAUUGGGCGUAAAGAGCUCGUAGGCGGCCUGUUGCGUCCGCUGUGAAAUCCCGGGGCUUAACCCCGGGCGUGCAGUGGAUACGGGCAGGCUGGAGGCAGGCAGGGGAGAACGGAAUUCCCGGUGUAGCGGUGAAAUGCGCAGAUAUCAGGAGGAACACCAAUGGCGAAGGCAGCUCGCUGGGACGUGACUGACGCUGAGACGCGAAAGCGUGGGGAGCAAACAGG